This 253-nucleotide ribosomal RNA is filed under the name uncultured bacterium. RNAcentral describes it as "partial 16S ribosomal RNA". It matches the Rfam family "Bacterial small subunit ribosomal RNA", at positions 524 to 776 of the family's 1533-position model. The record is from RNAcentral.
UACGUAGGGGGCAAGCGUUGUCCGGAAUUAUUGGGCGUAAAGCGCGUGUAGGCGGCUCGGUAAGUCUGCUGUGAAAGUCCAAGGCUCAACCUUGGAAAGCCGGUGGAUACUGUCGAGCUCGAGUCCGGAAGAGGCGAGCGGAAUUCCUGGUGUAGCGGUGAAAUGCGCAGAUAUCAGGAGGAACACCGAUGGCGAAGGCAGCUCGCUGGGACGUGACUGACGCUGAGACGCGAAAGCAUGGGGAGCAAACAGG